GUUUGCAAAAGGCUUGUGUGCUCAGCAAGCCUCCAUGUCACUAGGGUACCAAGGUUGUUCCAGGAGGGAUGCAUUGAAGCUGGAACUGGAGAAGCCGUCGGCAACCAUCUCAGCCCUUGGGAGGUGGAAAUAGGAGACUACAGAGUUCAAGGUCACAUUGGGCCACACAGGAACUUCAAGGCCAGCCUGGCCUGCAUGAGACCAUGUUUCAAAACACCCCCUUCCCCAAACAAAGCAAAACUAAGGUCCUCCUGGCCAAGAAAACAGUGUGUGGGAUCCUCUGAGUUUAUCUUGCACAUGUCUGCUGUUGGUGCUCCAUCUGGCCCAAGGGGAAAUUCCACCCAGCUGUCCCCUCCCAGUAGGCUUGAUUGGCAGGGUGCCUACCUAGUGAGGAGAACUCUCAGGCAUGGCAUGUGCUAUAUUUGCCAAAGGACAGAGCAUCCGACCAGCUGGAAGGGGCCAGUUUACAUUCUGGAACUUACUAGAAGCUUUAUAAGAACACACUCAAAUACAGACGGACAGGUCUUCAUGAAGUUCUGCAGCCUGGACAGGGACCAGACUCAAACAGAUCCCGUAAGACACAGAAGCUCUGCGAUCAGAAAGACUAGACUUCAUGCUCUCAGAGAGGCAGCCUGGAAGCAACAGCCUCCUUACCUGGUGUCUUCCUGAAGCAAAUCAGGAAUCAAGUGCUUCGGUGGUCCUCCGGUCCGUGGGAAGAAAGCGCUUCCUGUGAGCGCACUGACCACAAAGCCGGCAGGUGCAUGGGGGCUCUCAGUGCGAACCUUGUGUUCUCAGUGGCGGUUAAGUGUGUGUCCAGCAAACAAGAGGAUGGGGGAGGAGCCAUGUGUGUGCGGGCUCUUUGACUGAUUGCACGUUUGUGUCCUGAUUGGGAAGGCAGCCUCAGUGGACCUUUUCAAGGCACAGCAUCUCCUCCUGGAUAUAGAAUAGCGAUGGCGAUUGUCGCUGAGCACCUACCUGCCUAAGAACUGUGAACAAAAUUAAACUAACUUUCUUGACCUCUGCAGCAGACUGUAC
This 1035-nucleotide long non-coding RNA is filed under the name Mus musculus (house mouse). RNAcentral's name for it is "predicted gene, 49123". Lineage: Eukaryota; Metazoa; Chordata; Mammalia; Rodentia; Muridae. The record is from RNAcentral.